RNAcentral lists this ribosomal RNA (267 nucleotides) under uncultured bacterium. Its description in RNAcentral is "partial 16S ribosomal RNA". It matches the Rfam family "Bacterial small subunit ribosomal RNA", at positions 793 to 1055 of the family's 1533-position model. The record is from RNAcentral.
GUCCACGCUGUAAACGAUGAGCGCUAGGUGUUGUGGGUGUUGACCCCCGCAGUGCCGCAGCUAACGCAUUAAGCGCUCCGCCUGGGAAGUACGGCCGCAAGGCUAAAACUCAAAGGAAUUGACGGGGGCCCCGCACAAGCGGUGGAGCAUGUGGUUUAAUUCGACGCAACGCGCAGAACCUUACCUGGUCUUGACAUCCUGGGAAUCCGCCGGAGACGGCGGGGUGCCCGCAAGGGAGCCCAGAGACAGGUGCUGCAUGGCUGUCGU